UCAAAUCAAAUCAAGUCAGUUUUAAUCAAAUAAUAUGCACCGUCAAAAAUCGAAAAAAGUUUUACUGAAAUUUUAGUGAUUGUUUAAACUUUUUAUUAAAAACAUUGAUGGAAUCAGGCCGUAAACCCUUUCAUAAGUAUGUUGUUCCGAUGCCAGCAUGCAUGGAGUUGUUUUCCAAAAGACAUACAUUAUCGAAGAACGAUCCUACAUUAUUUCAAAAGUGAUAUCAAGUGCGAAACCUUAAAAAUGAUCAACCUACUGGUAAUUUGGUAUCCAGUGAUGUCAAUCCAGGUACAAACCCUGUAUUUAAAGACAAACAUUUGUUGUAGAACUUUUUGGUGGACCACUCUCUCGUUGGUAUUAGACAUGUACUGUUACCUGAGAAAAGCAAUAACUGAAAAGGAGAAAGGAUCGGAUAACCCAAAUCAGGAAUCUUCAGAGUGCAGAUGAUGCAGUUUUUGUGAAAGAGGUAAGAUCUGCCUCUUGUAAGACCUCUUUCAAGAAUUUAACCCAGGGUUUACACCCAAGUUAGAUCUCAAGCAUAGCAAAGGAAUCGUACAACCUGUGAAUUCAGUUUAAUUACUGAGAUCAAGGAUGAUGAAACAUUCAUUAUGAUUAUACAGAGCUACAAAGAGUUAUGUUGAGAAUCCAAAUUAUCAUAAUGAAUUGAGACGAGACAAUACCUGGGUAGAAAUUGAGGAAAAUGCAGAAUAAAAGGCAUUUUUAUAUUAAUGUUAUGAAUCCAAUGUUUUAUCAAAUCGUCACAUAGAUAAUAUUUCUGUACGCAUAAUACUAAAAUUAAAAAGGUCAGCUUAAAACAACUUUACUUAUCCAUCGCGUGCGAAAACAGUGCUUCGCAUAUGGCAUAUGGCUUCGGCGCGCUUCGCUCAAGUGCGCAUCAUGCUUUAAACUUUUGCGGAGCGCCGGAGCGGCCAAAAUGUCACUGGAUUAAUUGCAUGUAUUUUGAUUCUUCGCGUUACUUCGCUUUAAUCCGUGGGUCUGCAUUUUUAUACAUAGAUAUCAUUGAUCCAAUUCACGUUUUCUCGCCGCGCUUCGAAUAAGUUCGCGACAAAACUUUGUUAGUUGUAUUUUAUAUUAUUUAAUGCCAUUGUAUUGAUUUAUUAUUAUUAUUGUAUUUAUAUGAACAAGUUAAG
Sitophilus oryzae (rice weevil) is the source of this 1154-nucleotide long non-coding RNA. RefSeq lists it as uncharacterized. The transcript has 4 exons. The record is from RefSeq and is a predicted model, not a curated record. Lineage: Eukaryota; Metazoa; Arthropoda; Insecta; Coleoptera; Curculionidae.